Molecule: long non-coding RNA, 1127 nt
Organism: Lepus europaeus (European hare)
Lineage: Eukaryota; Metazoa; Chordata; Mammalia; Lagomorpha; Leporidae
Exons: 4
Source: RefSeq, a predicted model, not a curated record
CUGGGGCCGUUGGUUGUCCUGACCCCUCAGAGCCUGAACCCAUCAGGCUUGGGCGGGGGGGAGGGGCUCAGAGAGUGGCUGGGCCCGGCCCCCCUUCCUCCCACCUUGACACCCACCCCACUCACCAAUGCCCACCACGCAGAUGUCAGCCCGCACAACCUUGCUGCUCUUCAACACAACCUCCUUCAGCUGCGGGGAGCAGGCAGCUCCAACACCUCCGUCUGCAUGUAGAACUUUACCCGGUUGUCCUCAAACAUCUGUCAGAGCAGGAACCUCCUGAAGGGCGUCUCCUCCAACUCUACCACGGACACUGAGUGGGCCUUCUCGGUCAGCUGCUCACCCAGGAAGCCAGCUCCCACGACCACGGCAUUGCGGCCCCGGGCCAGCCUCACCACGCGGUUGGCAUCCUCAGGUGUCCGGAUGGUGAACACGUUCUCCACCUCUUUGCCUUUGCAGCUGAGGGUCUUGGGGCUAAGACACACAGAGCAGUGCGGUGAGGGCCAGCCAGGACGGGAGGGCGGGACAGAGAUGCCCUUGCCCCGCCCCCGUGGCCUUUGCACCUGCUGCCUGGCGCCAGCAACAGUUUGCUGUACUCCAACUUGAAGCCAUCCUUGAAUACCGCCUUCUUGUUUCUCACAUCCACGGUGACCACCUGCAAACCCCACCGGGCACAGCACGGACCUGAGCUUGUACCGCAGCUCUGCACCCACUCCCAGGUCCUCCGAGAUGCCCAGAGCCCAGACGGGGGCUGCCCCAUUCCUUUAGCCCAUCUCGUAAUCGCAGUCCCACCAGCCCUGCACAGCUCACCUUUGGCCCUGCCAGGAAGUGGGUUCCAGAGCCAUGUCCGAGGCCUGGCCAGGGCAGCCGGGAGGACAGGCCCCACCCCACCCCACCCCCACACACUCCCAGGGGCCCACGUGGCCUCGUGCCUCUCCUGGCUGCUUCUAGCCCCUUCCCCAGCCUGUUGCCUUCUUAGCCUGUACCUGGGCCUCUGUGAGCACCUCGAUGCCGUAGGCCCGGAAGAAUUCCUUGGGCCUCAGGGCCAGCUGCUCAGGCUGCGCAUCCAGGGACUGCAGGAGAUGGCCGGCUCAAGAUGGCGCCAGCUGGCCACUGUUCCUCUUGUUACA